RNAcentral lists this long non-coding RNA (1001 nucleotides) under Phoenix dactylifera (date palm). RNAcentral describes it as "long non-coding RNA (PDAC_LNC016488)". The record is from RNAcentral. Lineage: Eukaryota; Viridiplantae; Streptophyta; Magnoliopsida; Arecales; Arecaceae.
UCAUUUAACUUAUUAGAUUAAAAUUUAUUAGGACUUAAGAAAUCCUAAUCUAAUUAGGACAUAUUAAAUUUCAGUCCUAAUCUAAUUAGGACUCUAGAAAUCCUACUCCUAGUAGGACUCUAAUUUAAUUUGAAAUCCUAAUCUAAUUAGGAUUCUUAGAAUCCUACUCUAAGUAGGACUCGUGUCUAAUAUGAUCAAGUCCAAUUAAUUAAAUCCAAUUAAUUAAAUUAAAUUACAAUCAAAUUGCAAUUAUUCCUUCUUCAACUUGCUAGUUAUCAAUCAAAUUGAUAAUUAUAAAUUAUUUGUGAUUCCUAAUCACAAUUCAACCAUUGGAUCAGUCAAUACCUCUAAUGUGUGUGACCCCAUAGGUUCUAUUCUGUCUGGUAGUGAGAUAUAUUGCGAUCUCUAUCACAAUAUCAUUGAAAACUCCUUUCAAUGGGUUGGAACAAUUCCAACUCUUCUCAUUCGGGUUCACUGAUCACCAAGUGAAUGCCUUUGAGUCUCACAAUCCACCAGUGACUCCUAGCAUCAUGUAGUGGCAACCCAGCAGAAUGAAAUGAUGAACCUCUAGGUGUAGUUAGUGUAUGAUACAGUCCCUCUAUCGUGGAUUCCGACAAGACGGAGGUCAUGGAUAACUCGUCAAACCCCUAUCGUCUGUCAUAUGUCAAGAUUUAUUCGACUUAAUUUUGAGAACGGAAAACUCCUUUUCCACUAUACAUACUACCCCGGCCGAGGAUUUACGAACUCAGUCUCAUAAAUCACAUAUGAUCUCUCUUAACCUAUCAAGGUCGAUAGAUUCCAUCUAGAUGCACCCCUACUCCUACAAUGAACCUACUGCAGCCAAUCUGCACUACAAGAACCCAAAUGGCUAGGGCUCAUGUUUAUGUGCUCGUCAAAUUACAGCAACCUCACUGUGAAUAGUUGAGGCAUCGCAGGUCAAAGGACCAGUCAUACAACUGCAGCAUCAAGUAAGUCACUGACGAGCGGAUAGACAUCCAAGU